GCUGAGCACAAUGGCAUGCAUUUGUAGUCCCAGUUGCUGGGAAGGCUGUGGCAGAAGGAUCACUUGAGCCCAGGAGUUCUGGGCUGUAGUGUGCCGUGCCAUACUACGUUCAGCAUCAAUACAGUGACCUCCCAGGAGUGGGGCAUCACAGGUUGCCUAAGGAAGGGCGAAUGGGCCCAGGUCAGAAAUAAAUCAGGUCAAAACUCCCAUGCUGAUCAGCAGUGGAAUCACACCUGUAAAUAACCACUGCACCCCAGCCUAGGCAACAUAAGGGCAUAACCCUGACUCUA
Callithrix jacchus (white-tufted-ear marmoset) is the source of this 290-nucleotide unclassified non-coding RNA. It matches the Rfam family "Metazoan signal recognition particle RNA". Rfam says of the family: The signal recognition particle (SRP) is a universally conserved ribonucleoprotein. NCBI's taxonomy places the organism in Eukaryota, Metazoa, Chordata, Mammalia, Primates, Cebidae. The record is from Ensembl.